CCGGAGCUGGGGUGCUUUUCCCCCCAUGCUAGGCAGUGCGCCAAGAGCUGCCAGCGCAGGCCUGGCUGAGGGCAGUGCCUGGGGGGUCCUCAGUGGCAGUGGGGCAGGGCUCCCACUCGCUGGGCUCUUCCCCAUGCCCCUGGAGUCCCUGCUGCCGGUUAGCCACGUCACUCUCUGGACAAGCCCCCUCGCCACGCACCAGCCCUACCCUCCAUUCCCGCCACGGGCCCUGCUCGCUGGGCAGCACGCAGGCCUAGGAAUCCACCAGCGUCCCCAGGACACCCAAACCCCACUGCACGAGCAGCCGCGGGUCCCAGCGCCUGCGGCCCAGCUAGGCUCCAGCUUUCUCCCUGCCUCCAGCUAACUGCCCUGGCUGUGCCAACAGAUACAAGAGGGUCUACAGAGUGCACCAGGACGUCUGCUACAAGGAGAGCUGCGAGAGCACGGCUCCCAAGACAGGCAGCAGGAAACCGGGCCCCAGUCGCACACCGAAGGAGCCAUAGAGGUAAAGCACUAGGAGCGUCAUCUCACCAGUUCUAAGGGCUUUCAAACAGCAGGACGAUCGGCUCUCCAAACUGGGUCCAAAAUGGGGGGAGGCAUCCUACGAGGAGUCACCGCCCCCCCGCCGGUUAGGGACACACCCAGAUUGGCACCCCAGGCCCGCACACCGGCUUUCCUUAUUGCAGCCGUCGACCUUCCCAUCCCCUGAAUCCACCUGGGGCAAGCCAGCUGUCCAACGGGGCGAGCCGUCUGUCACCCAGGCCUGCUCAAGUGAGCCCGCAGCUGCACAGGCAUUGACAGGGCUGAGAUCAGCCUCCGGCUUGCCAGCAUAAGCACCCAGCCGUUGAACUGCAAAUCCCCCACGACUCGAGUUCCACGCCACCCCGUGCUCCUUAGCUACGAGCCCACACCCGCAGAGAAGCCAAGUAUUUCCCUGCACGGCCGCGUUAACACCAACUCCCAGUGAUCUGAACUGAUGAGGGUGGAAAAUAAAACGGACGACACGUUGCCCCUUCUCUCGUACCGCCGCUGCCUUGUUUUUAAGAACCCCGUGCUGAGUAGUGGGCAGCACCGGCUGUUCUAACGGCGUGGCAGUGUGCAGCUCACAAACACGCCUGGAGCACCUCCCCACGUUUUCCUCCCAGGACAGGUUAAGGCUCAGAAAGGUUUUGCUCCCGUCCUCGUUUUUAUAACACCCACACGCUGGCCUGUGCAAUCGUCUCAAGGCUCUGCAGCGCUGCCCGGCUCAGAACAUGUGUCAGCUGACGUAGUAACACGCUGGAACGUGCAGCCGGAACCGAGUCGGGAAGUUUCCAAAGCGCUUGUCAGCUGUAAGCCACUUCUCUGCAGCUUUAGAUUCUGAACCAGGUAGAUCCAGGAAGCUGAAACCGCCCCCACGCCUGGCAUCCAAGCACCCGUUCCCUCUGUUCCAGCUGUGCUUAGGUACUGGCCACAAUCGCAGCCCUGCAGGCUCAAGCAAAGUGUUGAGCGUUUCCAUUUCCUAGCUUUUGAGUUUGCGGGUCACUAACUGCACCGAGGUUGUGUCUUCCUGGGCACAGCGUCACCUGAAGUGACACAUGCCAGAGACACCGCUUAGCAGUGGCCCUGCGGCCAGGUUGCAGGAGCUGUCUACGGGUGCACCUCACACAGGCUGCAGCGACCGGCCCCCGGGCUGUAGCAAAGGCGAGGCCGGCUGUGAGCAGAACACAGCGCAGGCCUUACCAGCUCCCCGCCGCAGCUGGCCUCCCUGCUCUGCGCACCGCCAGGCGCGUGGGACCUGCCAGCUGGCAGAAUGCUCUUGCCCAGCUCAGGGACCCUUUGCCUCCCGGCUCCAGCCGCUGCCGAGCUCGGCCCAGGAACGACCCGCUUGAGAGAGGCUGCCAGGAACCGAACUGGGAGGCAGAUGGGUUGCCAGGAACAAGGCUUCCUAAGGGCCACCCACAACUCCAGCAUCCCAGCUUCACCUCACCAGCCCUGGGGAAGGAGGGCCCUGCUUCUGGGACGCGGGGGGAGGCUGUCAGAGCCCCAGCAAGCCUUGCCGUUACCUGGGGAGGGCAGGAGACCAGGCCUCAAACAUCCAACAUGGCAAGUGGGGCUGCCAGGCCCUGGUCCCAAGCGGGUCUGUCCCACGUCCCAGCUGGCAGCCGACAAGGACCGGCCUGCAAACAGGGCGACCGAAGGCGCAGGCAGCCUGGGGCUCAGAAGCCCACUGCUGGGUAAACGUCUUGAGUUUUCUGCAAAUAUCCCUUUAACUGGAAACUAAAGCCAGUCCCUUGCCGCCUAGCUCUGGCAGCCUUCGAGCGCAGCUCUCGGGCCACACCACCAGCAGCUGGUGCUUGCCUGCGCCCCCAAUGCACCGGCAGCAGCCGCGGUUGUGGCAGUCCGACACUGCGCCUCCCCAGGUGCAGCCGCCGCAGCGUCCUGGGCCAUCGCAGGCUGCGCAGACUGAGCACAGCGUGUAACGCAGCAGCAGAAGAUCGGAUCUUGUUCAAACGUUCGCUGUUUUGUUUUCUAAAUAAAAUCCA
This is a non-coding RNA of Pelodiscus sinensis (Chinese soft-shelled turtle), 2525 nucleotides long. The record is from RefSeq and is a predicted model, not a curated record. Lineage: Eukaryota; Metazoa; Chordata; Testudines; Trionychidae.